CCGAGCCUGUGAUGUGCUGUUAUCCCUGUCUGACUCCUCUGUGAGGAAAAAACUCCACUGAGGCUCAU
Molecule: small nucleolar RNA, 68 nt
Filed under: Lepidothrix coronata (blue-crowned manakin)
Lineage: Eukaryota; Metazoa; Chordata; Aves; Passeriformes; Pipridae
Description: Small nucleolar RNA R38 (ENSLCOG00000013486.1)
Source: RNAcentral